AAGAAGCCUCGGUGGGGGCUUUAGCCUGAUAUCUGUGUACUAGUACAGCUCUGCUUGGGCUAGUUAACUAGUUAUAAGGUAUUCAAGGUUAGCAUGAAUGAUGUUCCUUUGAGAUGGUAAAGCAGUGAUGCUGGCCUGUUUGGGCAGCAUUGACAGUGCCUCUCCAAUAAAACUACUUUGAUGUCAUCUAACAACUCAUUUAUUUGCUCCCACAUAAGGGGAUGGUGAUGAGGCCAAUUAUUUUUAUAUGAAAUGCCUAAUAAUUAAGCAAACUGUAGCUGUUUGUAGGGUGCUGACAAUGCUUGUACUUGAUUGAGAAAGGCUGGUAAAGCUUAGUAAAACAGAGCACCUGCCCUAGCAGGAAGAGUACCCCUGCCUUGACUCAUCUGGCAGGAGCUGAGCUCUUGUCUCACCUUAACCCUAACCCUUUCCCAGACUACAAGCUAUUAGCUGCUUUUGUGACCUUGGUUUGGCACUAACAAAGCUGCUAGAUUAUUCAUAAGCAAGAAGAUCAGAUGAGUUGUGUGAAUUCUAACAGCUGAUCUGAAAAUGCUACAGCUUUUUAAGCUCUGUAAGGAUGGGAGGGUUAUCUUAAGAGGCCUGUCAGUGUAGAUUACUGUCUGUGUUACAGUGAUGCUUGAAUGCCUCUAACAAGGUAUUCCUGUGCUGAGCUGAGUGAGACACCCUCCACGUAUUGCAGAUAUUGCCAUGCAAACAGUCGAGAUAACUUCUUACCCUAUCUUGGAGGUGAGGGGAGCUGCAGAGGCACUAAGUCUGGAGAGGCUUUACAGCCGGCUGGGUAACGCUUGCCUUCCAGUGACAGCGUGGCCAGCUGCCAAUUUAUUUAUCCAGCGUGUAUGUGGUGCUUAUCUUCAGUUUGGGAUGAGGUCCUGGUACCCUGAGGAGCUCACCUAUGUUAAAGAUGACCAUGUGCUGCAGGACUUUGGGACUGAAUUUCUCAGCUCCGCAGUGUCACGACAGAACACGUCAGCACCAAGGUACUGUGCAGCCUGACUCUCUGAACUGCAUCACCCAUUUGUCACUGAAUCCCUCUGUACCAACACUUAGAGCUGAAGUUUAACACGCUGACCUCCAGUUGAUCUCAAGAAUGAUAUUAUCCUAUCCAUUUCCUAGAAAAUUACAGUUCUUUGCAGAAAUGCAUUAAACUAUCAGGUCUUGCUUAUUAGGGAUUUCUCAUAGGGCUUUUAACUCCAAAUGAGCUUUGAGACCAACUAAAUCUCUGAAGCUGUAGUUUCCCUCACUGCUAGAAAUAAAAAGUGUAUCUUUGCUAUAACGAGAGAACA
RNAcentral lists this long non-coding RNA (1304 nucleotides) under Anas platyrhynchos platyrhynchos (common mallard). RNAcentral describes it as "lncRNA (ENSAPLG00000026169.1)". The record is from RNAcentral. Lineage: Eukaryota; Metazoa; Chordata; Aves; Anseriformes; Anatidae.